Molecule: transfer RNA, 77 nt
Filed under: marine sediment metagenome
Description: tRNA-Arg
Rfam family: tRNA
About the family: Transfer RNA (tRNA) molecules are approximately 80 nucleotides in length. Their secondary structure includes four short double-helical elements and three loops (D, anti-codon, and T loops).
Source: RNAcentral
GGCCCCUUAGCUCAACUGGACAGAGCAACGGUUUUCUACACCGUAGGUUGAGGGUUCGAAUCCUUCAGGGGCUACCA